Molecule: ribosomal RNA, 253 nt
Filed under: uncultured bacterium
Lineage: Bacteria
Description: partial 16S ribosomal RNA
Rfam family: Bacterial small subunit ribosomal RNA
Source: RNAcentral
UACGUAGGGCGCAAGCGUUGUCCGGAAUUAUUGGGCGUAAAGAGCUCGUAGGCGGCUUGUCACGUCGGAUGUGAAAGCCCGAGGCUUAACCUCGGGUCUGCAUUCGAUACGGACUAGCUAGAGUGUGGUAGGGGAGAUCGGAAUUCCUGGUGUAGCGGUGAAAUGCGCAGAUAUCAGGAGGAACACCGGUGGCGAAGGCGGAUCUCUGGGCCAUUACUGACGCUGAGGAGCGAAAGCGUGGGGAGCGAACAGG